Molecule: long non-coding RNA, 210 nt
Organism: Octopus sinensis (East Asian common octopus)
Lineage: Eukaryota; Metazoa; Mollusca; Cephalopoda; Octopoda; Octopodidae
Exons: 3
Source: RefSeq, a predicted model, not a curated record
CGUCGGUUACGAAGACGAGGGUUCCAGUUGAUACGAUCAACGGAACAGCCUGCUCGUGAAAUUAACGUGCAAGUGGCUGAGCACUCCACAGACACGUGUGUCCUAAAAGUAGUUCUCGGGGAUGUUCAGCGUGACACAGAGUGUGACAAGGCUGGCCCUUUGAAAUACAGGUACAACAAAAACAGGAAGACUGAGUGAGAGAAAGUUGUG